This 253-nucleotide ribosomal RNA is filed under the name uncultured bacterium. RNAcentral's name for it is "partial 16S ribosomal RNA". It matches the Rfam family "Bacterial small subunit ribosomal RNA", at positions 524 to 776 of the family's 1533-position model. The record is from RNAcentral.
UACGUAGGAGGCAAGCGUUGUCCGGAAUCACUGGGCGUAAAGCGCGUGUAGGCGGAUCGCUAAGUCUGUGGUGAAAGCGCCUGGCUUAACCGGGCGAGGUCCAUGGAAACUAGCGGUCUGGAGGCCGGUAGAGGGGGGUGGAAUUCCGGGUGUAGUGGUGAAAUGCGUAGAGAUCCGGAGGAACACCAGUGGCGAAGGCGGCCCCCUGGGCCGCGCCUGACGCUGAGAAGCGAAAGCGUGGGGAGCGAACAGG